GAGUCAACUCUCUCCCCCGUCCAUGUGGGGUCCCAGCUACCGAACUCGGGCCCUCAUGCUUGUUAGCUGUACCCACAGAACUGUCUUACACUCAUUCGUUUUUCCAAAGAAUGUGAAAGAACGGCAGUGAGCACGUGAGCUUCAGUUGAACCGUCCUUCCCAGGAGCGAGAAUGUGAAGUGGAGACUCAGGUUACUACGGAAGUAUGGUGCAAUGGAUAAUAACCUAUAAAGGUUGUUUGCUGACACCUCCAUGUCACCUCACAGAGGGUCGCAGACGCAGGCUCCAGAAUCCGGUGACAUUUCACUGCAUUUCACGCUAGCUGUCCUUGGGAAGAUUUUCAGUUCAGAUACGCCUCGUGACAAAAACUCAGUGCUGGGGAGCUUCCUCUGCACCUGGGACAUCAUCCUAAGGUAGCACACCCUUGACCUCUCCUGGUGACACUGUGUCCUGGGCCACACAGCCUUGAUUGCCAGAGAAAUACGGAGGAGCAGGAGUCUUGGAUGGAGAGAGAGCUUGACCCACUGUCCACUACUUCAAGAAACGGGCAUAAGGUGGCAGCACUGGCAGUCCCUGCAUGUGCCUGAGGAAGCUUGGCCAAGGGCCAGGAUAAGUCGGGGAACCCUUGAGAGGAAGAGUUUGGGAAACCCAGCUUUAGAGUGAGCAACUACUCAGUAGGCCCUGGCUGGCCUCCUGCUGUGUAGAAGAAGCAGUACUGACACUUGGAAGGAUGUCACAAGUGUCACAAGCACAGGGCUGGCCAGAGUGACAUCACAAGACACUGCUGCUUCCAACCAUGGCACAGAGAGGCACAUACAGACGUGCAGGCGUCUUGUCCUCUCUUACCUACCCUGCCCAGUCUUCUCUGCGACAGAGACAGACAGAAAAGCCUGCCCAACUUGUUUGUUCUCUUUCUGUCUUUUUUCUAUUUUUUUCACCCCAAUUUUGUUGCUUGUCUAGUCUCUCGAAGGAAAUGCCUGCCACAAAUCCUCAUUGUCACCAGCAAGAUCUGUUGUGUCAUGUCAGUAGAGGCAGUUUGUUAGGUUUCAAUGUAAACAAACAAGCAACACACCUACUUUUGAAAAUUGAUCCUUUUCACAACACCCAUCAUCGGUUGCUCAGAGUUACCUAUAUGCAGGCAUAGAGAAUUAAGGAGUAGCUUCCUUCUGUGAGUACAUGUGUGAGCGUUGUGCAUGUGCAUGUUUGCAUGUGUGUGUGUGUGUGUGUGUGUCUGUGUGUUGUGGGUAGGUACCUGUGCAGGCCAAGGUCAAGGGUCAGAUUGUCACCCUCUGCUCUCUACCUUGGUUUACCCACAUUUCUGUGUGGGAACCACAUGCCUUGGAGGUCAAAAGAGGAAGUCAGAUCCCUAGAACUUGAGCUAUAUAUACACACGAGGUUCUGAGCAACCAUAUGGGUGCUGGGAACAGAACCUGGGUCCUCUGAAAGAGCAGCCAGUGCUCUGAAUCACUCAGCGAUGGCUUUAGCACCAUCCUGCUUUCUGAGACAAGGUCUCUGACUAAACCUAGACUGUGAUUCAGCUAGACUGGCUGAGCAGCGAGUUCCCGGAGUCCGUGUCUCCACCUCCCUGGUUGGAUUACAGGAACCCAGCUUUUUAUGUGGAGGCUGGGACCUGAACUCAGGUCGUCAUUAUUGCAUAGCACACACUUUACCUACUAUUUUUCUGGCCAUUGCUUCAUUUUCUGUUUUGUUUUUCGAGACAGGGUUUCUCUGUG
Molecule: long non-coding RNA, 1732 nt
Organism: Mus musculus (house mouse)
Lineage: Eukaryota; Metazoa; Chordata; Mammalia; Rodentia; Muridae
Product: predicted gene, 30019
Exons: 3
Source: RefSeq, a predicted model, not a curated record